AAAGUUAAUUAAACUGGAGUAAUAGUAGUUAUGGCCUUGAAAUUCAAAGAAUUUGGCGGUAUCUUAAUCCAAUUAGAGGAACCUGUUUCAUAAACGAUACACCACGAAAAAUCUUACUUACUUUAUAUUAGUUUGUAUACCGUCAUUAUUAGAUAAUUUUUAAAGAAAAAAUUAUUUAAAAAUAAUAAUAUUAAAUAUAUUAGAUCAAGGUGCAAUUUAUAGGUAAGAAGAUAAUGGGUUACAAUAAAUUUAUUUAAAUGGAGUUAAGGUUUAAAAUUUUAAUGAAAACGGAUUUAAUUGUACACUUAGUUAAU
This 314-nucleotide ribosomal RNA is filed under the name Paguristes hernancortezi. RNAcentral describes it as "partial small subunit ribosomal RNA". Lineage: Eukaryota; Metazoa; Arthropoda; Malacostraca; Decapoda; Diogenidae. The record is from RNAcentral.